CCUACGGGGGGCAGCAGUGAGGAAUAUUGGUCAAUGGACGAGAGUCUGAACCAGCCAAGUAGCGUGAAGGAUGACUGCCCUAUGGGUUGUAAACUUCUUUUAUAUGGGAAUAAAAUGUUCCACGUGUGGGAUUUUGUAUGUACCAUAUGAAUAAGGAUCGGCUAACUCCGUGCCAGCAGCCGCGGUAAUACGGAGGAUCCGAGCGUUAUCCGGUUUUAUUGGGUUUAAAGGGCGGGUAGGUGGAUUGUUAAGUCAGUUGUGAAAGUUCGCGGCUCAACCGUAAAAUUGCAGUUGAAACUGGCAGUCUGGAGUACAGUAGAGGUGGGCGGAAUUCGUGGUGUAGCGGUGAAAUGCUUAGAUAUCACGAAGAACUCCGAUUGCGAAGGCAGCUCACUGGACUGCAACUGACACUGAGGCUCGAAAGUGUGGGUAUCAAACAGGAUUAGAUACCCCAGUAGUC
Molecule: ribosomal RNA, 460 nt
Filed under: uncultured bacterium
Lineage: Bacteria
Description: partial 16S ribosomal RNA
Rfam family: Bacterial small subunit ribosomal RNA
Source: RNAcentral